AGAACGAACGCUGGCGGCAGGCUUAACACAUGCAAGUCGAACGCUCGUAGCAAUACGGGAGCGGCAGACGGGAUAGUAACACGUGGGAACGCGCCCUUCGGUUCGGAAUAACUCAGGGAAACUUGAGCUAAUACCGGAUACGCCCUUACGGGGAAAGAUUUAUUGCCGAAGGAACGGCCCGCGUCCGAUUAGCUAGUUGGUGAGGUAAUGGCUCACCAAGGCUACGAUCGGUAGCUGGUCUGAGAGGAUGACCAGCAUCACUGGGACUGAGACACGGCCCAGACUCCUACGGGAGGCAGCAGUGGGGAAUAUUGGACAAUGGGCGCAAGCCUGAUCCAGCCAUGCCGCGUGGAUGAUGAAGGCCUUAGGGUUGUAAAGUCCUUUUAACGGGGAAGAUAAUGACGGUACCCGUAGAAUAAGCCCGGCUAACUUCGCGCCAGCAGCCGC
Molecule: ribosomal RNA, 447 nt
Filed under: uncultured bacterium
Lineage: Bacteria
Description: SSU rRNA
Rfam family: Bacterial small subunit ribosomal RNA
Source: RNAcentral